RNAcentral lists this long non-coding RNA (276 nucleotides) under Lathyrus oleraceus (garden pea). RNAcentral's name for it is "Pisum sativum (pea) long non-coding RNA (PSAT_LNC005124)". Lineage: Eukaryota; Viridiplantae; Streptophyta; Magnoliopsida; Fabales; Fabaceae. The record is from RNAcentral.
CUGAAUGCCGCAUCCGCUGGGGAUUAUUAUUAUUAUAUUUUUUGCUUUUUCUUGAACCCCAAAACUUCUUUGAUUUUUUUCUUUUUUCUUUUCUUGAACCCCAGAAUUUUUCCGCGCGAGUGAUCCCCAAUCACCGCAUUUGAACCCCGAUAACUUCAUGUCGCUCCUGCCAAACAAUGAACCCCGUUCUCCAUUUGAAACCCCAGUCGCUUGACGAUAACUCGCGAUCGUCGUUGUGAACCCCAUUCUCCAGAAAACACCUUGUGUCUCCUUUUC